GCAAACUUGGUCAUUUAGAGGAAGUAAAAGUCGUAACAAGGUUUCCGUAGGUGAACCUGCGGAAGGAUCAUUAUCGAAAUCACAAAAGGGGGGAGCGCUCCCAGUUGUUGCUGGUGGACUUCACACUUCGCAUGUGCACGCGCGGACGUGCUCUCCUCGAUUUCUCCACUCACACCUGUGAACUCGUGUGGAACGGGAAGGAGUCUCCACUCCGGAACUUCCAUCUUUCAUCACGCACACUCUUCUGUAACCGAGAUUUAUAUUUCAUAAUCGAAACAACUUUCAACAACGGAUCUCUUGGCUCUCGCAUCGAUGAAGAACGCAGC
This 326-nucleotide unclassified non-coding RNA is filed under the name uncultured fungus. RNAcentral describes it as "partial contains small subunit ribosomal RNA, internal transcribed spacer 1, and 5.8S ribosomal RNA". The stretch from base 1 to 73 matches the Rfam family "Eukaryotic small subunit ribosomal RNA", at positions 1759 to 1831 of the family's 1831-position model. Lineage: Eukaryota; Fungi. The record is from RNAcentral.